Molecule: long non-coding RNA, 1110 nt
Organism: Thalassophryne amazonica
Lineage: Eukaryota; Metazoa; Chordata; Actinopteri; Batrachoidiformes; Batrachoididae
Exons: 2
Source: RefSeq, a predicted model, not a curated record
AACAGGUGUACUUAAGCUUAAAGGGGUCAUACUGUGGAACAUUAUGUGUACACUUUUUACAUUUUAAUAUAUCUGGAGUUUCAUGGUAAACAUCCUACAAAGUCCUACAAUUCUCUGUCUGCAUAGCUAGAAAUUAUGCAUUUAAAAGAAAAAUUUUGUUCUGAAAUGGUUUGUUGUUGGCUUCUGUGACGUAUGUCACGGAUCUGGACUGUUCGGCUAAUGUACUUCUCCAGGUUCACUUCCCUCUGGAAAGAAGCCGUGGCUGGUGCCAGGUCCUUUCGAUUUAAAGGACCAGACACAGCAAAAAAGGUGGAGAAAAUGGCUUUUCAGUUUGCAGGAUUCAUUUAUUUAUUUUUGUAACAGUAUAUGGUAAAUGAACUGUAUUUAUAUAGCACUUUUCCAUCUGAAGCACAAGUUCAAAGUGCUUUACAAUGAUGCGUCACAUAUUUUAAUAUGUUUUUUAAAUAAUGGUGACUAAUAUUAGCUUGCUAAAAAUGUGCCCAAGAUGUUUGACCCCUGUCUGAUUGUGGUUCUCUUAACACAGGAACCCUAACCCUAACCUUCCCACUAUCCUCGCAAGCGAGGAAACUGCCAACAAGAACACAUGAAUCAGCGAUAUUCAAUUAAAACACCUCAAGGUGGCAUCACAGACACACGGACUGUUUUCUAUAAUCCACAUACUGAAUUAUUAAUUUCAUGCUGGAAAAAAAACCCAUUUUUUGUGCACAAAGAUUUUCCAUUAAAAUACGGUGCUCCUUUCACAAAAUCCUUUCCAGUACUACAGCUCUGACGUCAGUUUCUGCAGAGCGCUGCUGAUCUUGAGGUAGUUACUAGUAAACGUUGCAGUGCGCUUCAAAUCAGGCCAAAUUUAAGAAAUUUUUAGCCGUGUUAAUCUACAGCGGCUGAAUGAUGGACAAGAGCUGGUACCAAACAAAAUAAAUAUAAAUGAGUGUGAAUUAAGAUACAGUAACAUCCGAUUAUUGAUAAUCGGACCAGAAAAGAUGGGUGUUAAGUAUGACAUGCGUUGGAUCUGAUAGUUCAUUUCAAAUUCCAAGAGCAGUAAAACAGACAUUAUCAGGACGACAGUAUUCCUACAGACUGUUUUUAACU